GUGUAUGGAGGGACAAGAUGAAAAUAUCCAAUUCAAGUUCACACACUUUUUAAUGAGAAAUAUCAGAUUUAAAAGUUGUGGCACGCCAAAAGAUAACAAGUAAUGAACAGGAUUCGGUCACAAAUUUAUGGAGUUGAAAACCAAAAUCCUAAAUCAUCUUAAUUAUUUAGAGAUUACCCACAUGAAGCAAAUGCCUAAUUGCAGCAACUGCAUCACCUUUGUGUUCCCUUAAUGUUCUUUCAGCCACCUUCUUGUCCAGCUUUCAUUUGCAAUGAUGUCAACUUCAGCAGCAUUGAUUUUGACAGCAGCCAACUCUUUCUCCCUUGA
RNAcentral lists this long non-coding RNA (327 nucleotides) under Helianthus annuus (common sunflower). RNAcentral's name for it is "sRNA HanXRQr2_Chr11g0520631". The record is from RNAcentral. Lineage: Eukaryota; Viridiplantae; Streptophyta; Magnoliopsida; Asterales; Asteraceae.